AUCUUUGUACUCCUGCCAUGAUUGUGGGUAUGAUAGUGUUAAAAGCAAUAGAAAAAGAUAUACUCAGCUAUCCUGAUAUACUCAGCUAUGUACUGGAGGUCAGGGGCAGCACACAGGUAAUGUAGUGGAUAAGUGUGAAAGGAGUUAAGGUGGGGAUGGGCAGUCACUAGAAUGCCAAGAUGAUGGUGGUUGUGGCAGUAGUUGUUGCACUGGAAGCAGACCUGGCAGAUGAUGAAUCUGCCUUAUCUGAGUUUGCUCACUGUAAUCCAAACAAGAAACAGAAAAUUCUGUUUCUUAAGACCCCUCCAGCCUCGAGAGGGAUUGUUCAGCUACAACUGGUUCUCCAUUCUCUGUUUGAAGGUGUUUUCCCCUCCCCCUCUCCUCAGCACUCUCUUUACAACCUUCAUUUCUUCCUUGAUUCCUCACUUGAGCGUGGACUUGGUUCUCCUUUUCUGCUUAAGGGCAGCCUUGACAUUAUGAGUGAUCCACGGUUUAUUGUUAGAGAAACACAGUACAGUCCCGGUGGGUAUGGCAUUAUCUACACAGAUAUUAAAGUAGUCCAUUUUGCAAUUGUAAGGUCAAAUACCUACAGUCAUUCCAAUCAUGCUUUACUUAUCGCCUUAUUUUUAAGUUCUAGGCAAGGUUACCUAAGCAUUAAGAUAGCCAAAGACUCUCAUUGCUGUCUAGUCAUUUUACAAACUAGAGGAAUGUGACAUUGAAAUGCUUUAAGCGUUGCACAGAAAUUCUCUUCAAUUUUUAUUUCUGUCUCAGGUUAGAGUUCAGGUGGAGGAUGUGAACGAGUCACCACAUUUUCCCCCAGAGGUUUAUAGUGCCUCUGUAUUCAGCAUUGCCCCCUAUAAAACUCCUGUCAUCCAAGUGAAGGCUUCAGAUCCUGAUGUUGGAGAUGUGGGGCAGCUGGUCUACAGUUUGACAGCAGAAAGUCCUUAUUUUGACAUGGACCCAUCCUCAGGUCUGCUCUAUGUGAUCUCAGCAACAGAACUGGCUGGACAGACAGCUAAAAUGGAGGUGAAGGCCACUGAUCCCCACGAUCUUCAUGCUACCGCUAUAGUGGAGGUGAUGGUUCAGGCAAGUGCAAGCAGCUCUGACAUUGUGACCAUCUCACUUAAUCAGCCUGCUAACAUUGUGGAGAAGAAAGUUGAAGAUUUAUCGACGUCUUUGGGCAAAGUUCUGGGCUGGACUGUGAACAUCGUUCAGGUGUUCAGCGCUAACGACGGAUCCACUGGCACCCGAAACCUGAGAGUUUCUGUGAGGACUUUGGUCAGCUUCUUUGCUGUAGAUGGAGGGCAGGUUGUUUCCUCUGAAGAAGUCAUAAAGAAACUGCAGAGCCAAUCAGAUGCUGUGAAUGCAGAGCUGUCUCAGCUGUUUGGGGAGGAGCUUCAUUUUGAUGUUGAGAUUGUGGACCCUCAAGGGUCCACCUCCAAUCAGGCGGUGAUCAUUGCUCUGGGCAUCCUGUUUGGGCUGAGCAUCCUGGGAUUGAUUAUUGCUGUUGCUUUUCUCAUCAGGUUCCAUACGAAGGGGAAACAGGGGAAGAGUUCUGACAAAAAUCAUAUUCCCAUGGACCAACAGUCUGAGAGUUCCAUAAAUAGUUGUCGAAAACCUUCACACACCUCUGAACAGGGCUUAGGGAAAGGGGAAACAUCAGCAGAUCCCAGACCUUCAAGUCCGUCGUCUGAGUCUAUGACCAGCAGCCACCAUUUCUGAGCUGAAAGUCUUUCUACAUUAUAUAAGAAUCAACACCAUAAACAACAUAACUGAAAAUGUAUUUAAUUUUUCCCCUUGUCUUGAUAUUUUGUUUAUUUUUUAAUGAAUGAACAUGAAUGAAAAUAAGAGUGAAUAAAAGUCGAGAGGCACUCGGUGUAUGCACAAGAUGUACAGAAAUAAACUACAAGAAUGAUUAUUAUUUUCUGAAAGUUAUUCAGAAAACAAAUGCAAAACUUUGGCUAUGAAAAGUUUAGCCUUUCUGAGCGAGAAUAUUCUAGAUACGCAAAGGUUUUAGUGCUCCCUUUUAAACACUCACACCAGUCAGAGCAAUAGAUAAAGAGACACUAACAUACAGAAAAGCCUAUGAAGAGAUUUCUGGCAGGCUCAGGCUCAGGGUGGGCCAACUCUCUGUCUGUUCUAAUUCUUGAAUAGGAAAAUGAAUCAAAUUAUAGUAGAAUUUGUUUUAAAUAACACUAUGUAUUAUGUAAACAGAGUUCAGAAGUAAAGCAGCAAUGAUAAUAUGCACAGGCUCAUGGAGAAUUUUGUGUAUCCAAGUAAGGUACACACUGAUUAAAGCAGAGAAUAAGAAUAUAUACAGUAAAAAUAAUCAAAGUUACUGUAAUUCCCCAUAUCCAUCAAGAGUUACAUAUGUUAUAUCAAGUUCACCACCAAUUUUGUCUGAAGCUACGCAACAAAAAGGGCAGGUUAUAAAAUUCUUAAUUCUAAUUUUUAUUUUAACAUGAUGAAUAUACAACAUGUUCCCAGUGUGCCUUUUGUUUACAGACCGCAGGUCAGAAAGUGACUGCUUUGAGUCUGUAGAAAGCUUUUUAUCUGAACUGUAUAGAUAUUAUUCUAGCAGUAGUCAGAUAGUGGUUCCACUGACUGCUCUAACCCCUUAUGAAUGACAGCUUGACUUUUAAAACGGGGCUGCCAUCCCAGGAUCUUCACCUCAGCAACCAUCCGCCUACAGUACUUGGGAUCUGUUACGUGGUCUGAUUUAGUAAUUUUCUAAAGUAAUUUUCUGUUCAAAGCUCCACUUUGGCUUCAGUGGCUAUGAUUUUAGAUGUAUUGUUUAUCAGCUCUACAAGUUUAUUUGGUUCAGUUUUUAAAAUGGUGCUAUAAGUUUCUUCUUUCCAGAUUAAAUUCAAAAACAACAGAUUAAGUAUAAAUGAAAUGAAUGUCUAAAGAUCAAAAGAAAAAAAAAUAACAGCGACCUCGUGUAACUGAUGGAUUUUACUGUCCUACCUCAUCCACCGACUCAAGAAAAGCAGAGGAGUCGGCAUCAGGACCAGCAGAGUCAACCUGAUGAUCUUCAUUAUGACUGAGCUCAGUAAAAAUAAGACCACACACAGCAGAUCUGUGUAAUGUACGAUUAGGUCAACACAUUAGUUGCCAGUUAGAAAUCCCUGUUCUUACAUUGUGAAAGUCAGUUUAGAUAGAAAGUGUCAAACUAACUAGCCAUAGCGGUCAGAUGUCCUCUUCUGUUGUGGGCUUCGCAAUAAUAACUCCCACUGUGUCAAGUCUGAAGUCAGUGAAGUUUCCUCAUGAUGCUUCUGCUGAAGUCUUCAUUCUCCUGGUACCUGGUAUAACUAGCUGCUUUGUUAGUAUUGCUAAAGAGUCACUGAACUGGUCUGUGUGUGGGGAAGCUUUGGAGCAUCUGGGGGACAAUAUGAGGAGAAACAAAUUAAUAUGAGAUAAGAGUUUGUUCUCUUUUUUCUUUCUAGAUGCCAAUUAUGCUUAAGUAAAUGCUGUGGAGGACCAAGAGUUGAGCUCAUCAAAAUAAAACAUGUAUGGAUUAAUAAUUAUUUGUACUGUAAAAAAUGCAUUCAUGACUUAAUUUACUAUAAUUCUCUUUAUUUAGACAUUAGUAAAAUAACUCACAGAAACUAUGUAAAUGAUUAACAAAGAUUUAGGGGCGCAUUUGUACAUAGAAUGAUAAAGAUAUCUCUUAAACAUCUGUUAGGGUGUUAUUAAAACCUGUCCCUGUAUUAAACUGGGGUGUUACUGCAUUACAUUAAUAAGCUCCUAAAUAACUGGCUCAUCCUUGAUGUAACUCUUCAUUUAGAAACAUGGAUAAAAAAUGCUGUCUUCAGCGCAAAAUGAAUCAACUAAUUAUUUAUUGUUUGCUGCUUCAGUUUUGAUGAUAGCAAUUUGCAGAUACUCCAGAAUGUUAUGAAGAGUGAUCAGAUGGAUUGCAAAGUCCUUCUUUGCCAUGAAAAAAACUAUUUCCACUGCAUUUCAUUGCUGCCAUAAAAGGACCCGUUGAGAUCAUUUCAAUAAUCUUCUCAUUACCUCGGGUGAGAAUGUUGAUGAGCACAAGGCUGGAGAUCAUUAUGUCAUGCUGAUUGAGUUAGAAUAGCAGACUGGAUGUGUUAAAAGGAGGGUGAUGCCUAAGAUCAUUGUUGUUCCUGUUAACCAUGGUUACCUGCAAAGAAACACGUGACAGCAUGCCAGGGCGAAUUGGAGAGGUCAACACUGCACGUAUUGACUUUUUGCAUAAAUGUGAUGUAAUUGUCAAUAAAAGCCUUUGAAACCUAUCAAGUGUUAUAAUUAUACUUCAGUACAUCACAGAAACAACUCACAAAAAGAUCUAAAAAGACUGAAGCUGCAAA
Oreochromis aureus is the source of this 4334-nucleotide long non-coding RNA. NCBI's taxonomy places the organism in Eukaryota, Metazoa, Chordata, Actinopteri, Cichliformes, Cichlidae. The record is from Ensembl.